GAACUCAUGACAGUAGCGGACACC
This 24-nucleotide non-coding RNA is filed under the name Mus musculus (house mouse). The record is from RNAcentral. Lineage: Eukaryota; Metazoa; Chordata; Mammalia; Rodentia; Muridae.